RNAcentral lists this non-coding RNA (22 nucleotides) under Ovis aries (sheep). RNAcentral also lists the same sequence under 1 other name. The record is from RNAcentral. Lineage: Eukaryota; Metazoa; Chordata; Mammalia; Artiodactyla; Bovidae.
UGAGGUAGUAGGUUGUAUAGCU